This 164-nucleotide non-coding RNA is filed under the name uncultured Parabacteroides sp. The record is from RNAcentral. Lineage: Bacteria; Pseudomonadati; Bacteroidota; Bacteroidia; Bacteroidales; Tannerellaceae.
UUGGGUUUCCGCCAAAGCCUAUAAAAGGGAAUCCGGUGCGAAUCCGGGACAGUGCCCGCUACUGUAAGCGCUUUCCAAGAAGGAGGAACUCCACACAUGCCACUGCCUACGGGCGGGAAGGUCUGCCUCUUUCAGCGUAAGUCAGGAAACCUGCCAAGCGAAGU